GCGAGUCAGGCAUGCACCCAGCACACGAUGGCUGCAGCAGCUGGAGCGCAAGCUCUCUAGGUCAUUAUGGUUCUCCUCACUACGGAAGAAGAGAGGAGGAUGAGGAGGAGGAGGAGAAGAGGAGGAGCAGCACCAGUUAACAAACUGACCUGACAGCUUGUUCCAUCUGGGCUGUCUACACUCCAGUUCGUGGCCCAGUGAACGACAAACACCUAAUGCCUUGCUAAAGCUGGUAAAAAGGAACCAAAUCACCUCUUGAAUGGAUUUGGUCCCCUUCAACCAGCUGUAGCUAUGCUUUGAUGACUACAUACCAUCCCUACCGGAGCGCCUCUCUCUUCAAAUGCUCUGACUGACUGGAUGACGGUGUCAAUGAUCGUGUGUAGCGUCAUGCCUCGACUCACCCACGUCGGCUCUCAUCUUCACUAAGCGAUUAUUGAUCAAGUGUCAUGUUUCACUGUUGAAUCUGUCUGCCUUUCUUCUAUCUUGACUAAUAAAAAGAAGCCAACAGAGAUUCAACAAA
Long non-coding RNA from Oncorhynchus mykiss (rainbow trout), 520 nucleotides. RefSeq lists it as uncharacterized. The record is from RefSeq and is a predicted model, not a curated record. NCBI's taxonomy places the organism in Eukaryota, Metazoa, Chordata, Actinopteri, Salmoniformes, Salmonidae.